CCGACGGUGAGAGAUGAAAGCUGGGGGAGCAAACCGGAUUAGAUACCCGGGUAGUCCCAGCUGUAAACUAUGCAAACUCAGUGAUGCAUUGGCUUGUGGCCAAUGCAGUGCUGCAGGGAAGCCGUUAAGUUUGCCGCCUGGGAAGUACGUACGCAAGUAUGAAACUUAAAGGAAUUGGCGGGGGAGCACCACAAGGGGUGAAGCCUGCGGUUCAAUUGGAGUCAACGCCAGAAAUCUUACCCGGAGAGACAGCAGAAUGAAGGUCAAGCUGAAGACUUUACCAGACAAGCUGAGAGGUGGUGCAUGGCCGUCGCCAGCUCGUGCCGUGAGAUGUCCUGUUAAGUCAGGUAACGAGCGAGAUCCCUGCCUCUAGUUGCCACCAUUACUCUCAGGAGUAGUGGGGCGAAUUAGCGGGACCGCCGCAGUUAAUGCGGAGGAAGGAAGGGGCCACGGCAGGUCAGUAUGCCCCGAAACUCUGGGGCCACACGCGGGCUGCAAUGGUAACGACAAUUGGUUUCGAAUCCGAAAGGAUGAGGUAAUCCUCAAACGUUACCACAGUUAUGACUGAGGGCUGCAACUCGCCCUCACGAAUAUGGAAUCCCUAGUAACUGCGUGUCAUUAUCGCGCGGUGAAUACGUCCCUGCUCCUUGCACUCACCGCCCGU
This 664-nucleotide ribosomal RNA is filed under the name uncultured archaeon. RNAcentral describes it as "bacterial SSU rRNA". It matches the Rfam family "Archaeal small subunit ribosomal RNA", at positions 691 to 1353 of the family's 1478-position model. The record is from RNAcentral.